This 74-nucleotide transfer RNA is filed under the name Candidatus Altarchaeales archaeon. RNAcentral's name for it is "Candidatus Altiarchaeales archaeon tRNA-Cys". It matches the Rfam family "tRNA". From Rfam's summary of the family: Transfer RNA (tRNA) molecules are approximately 80 nucleotides in length. Their secondary structure includes four short double-helical elements and three loops (D, anti-codon, and T loops). Lineage: Archaea; Nanobdellati; Candidatus Altarchaeota; Candidatus Altarchaeia; Candidatus Altarchaeales. RNAcentral also lists the same sequence under 1 other name. The record is from RNAcentral.
GCAGGGGUAGCCAAGUCCGGUAAGGCAGUCGGCUGCAGACCGACGAUUCGGGGGUUCAAAUCCCUCCCCCUGCU